UACGAAGGGGGCUAGCGUUGCUCGGAAUCACUGGGCGUAAAGCGCACGUAGGCGGACUCUUAAGUCGGUGGUGAAAGCCCGGGAGCUCAACUCCGGAGACGCUACCCAGACUGCGGUGCUGGAGGACGGCAGAGGGGGGGUGGAAUUCCCAGUGUAGCGGUGAAAUGCGUAGAUAUUGGGAGGAACACCGGUGGCGAAAGCGACCCCCUGGGUUAGUCCUGACGCUGAGGCACGAAAGCGUGGGGAGCAAACGGGG
This 256-nucleotide ribosomal RNA is filed under the name uncultured bacterium. RNAcentral describes it as "partial 16S ribosomal RNA". It matches the Rfam family "Bacterial small subunit ribosomal RNA", at positions 524 to 777 of the family's 1533-position model. The record is from RNAcentral.